RNAcentral lists this transfer RNA (77 nucleotides) under Pectobacterium phage Wc4. Its description in RNAcentral is "tRNA-Met". It matches the Rfam family "tRNA". Rfam says of the family: Transfer RNA (tRNA) molecules are approximately 80 nucleotides in length. Their secondary structure includes four short double-helical elements and three loops (D, anti-codon, and T loops). The record is from RNAcentral. RNAcentral also lists the same sequence under 1 other name. Lineage: Duplodnaviria; Heunggongvirae; Uroviricota; Caudoviricetes; Andersonviridae.
GGUUCAGUCGCAGAUAAGGUAAUGCAGAGGUUUCAUACGCCUCAUGAAUGUGGGUUCGAUUCCCAUCUGAACUACCA